Molecule: long non-coding RNA, 369 nt
Filed under: Cinara cedri
Lineage: Eukaryota; Metazoa; Arthropoda; Insecta; Hemiptera; Aphididae
Source: RNAcentral
GUUAGAGAAAAUAAUAGGCACCUCUAAAUCAGUACUAAGCCGAUUGACAAAUAAUAAAAAAGCUAUUCGUGAACAGUGGGAAAAAUUAAACGACAACAAAAGUGCACCUGUAAACAGAAAAAGAAGCUAGAAGGCAAAGAUCCAAAAAGCUAGGAACGAAUGGUUUUCUGCUGUUACAGAACAUGGUGUUCGUAUUUUGGGCCCCAUGUUACAGUAAAAAGCUGAAUUUUUUACUGAAAAAAUUGGACAUGGUAAUUUUAAGGCCACAGAAGGUUGGAUAAAUCGUUGGAAGGACCGGAAUAAUAUUAAAUUCAAGCGAUUUCACAGAGAAAAAUCAAGUGCUUCUUCAGUUAAUCGGGACAGUCAGAU